RNAcentral lists this long non-coding RNA (217 nucleotides) under Lathyrus oleraceus (garden pea). RNAcentral's name for it is "Pisum sativum (pea) long non-coding RNA (PSAT_LNC023615)". Lineage: Eukaryota; Viridiplantae; Streptophyta; Magnoliopsida; Fabales; Fabaceae. The record is from RNAcentral.
UAUUUAUAGGGGAAGCAAAGGGGUUGAAGUGGGUGAAAGAAAAGGUCCUUUGGGUAAAAAACAGAGUAAUUUCUGCUGUCUGCGCAGGUGUAAUCGGUUACCCUGAUUAGUGUAACCGGUUACACAGUCCCAAAAUGGCCAAAAAGUCAGUUUUUGGUCUGUGUAACCGGUUACCCAGUUAUUUUAUUUUAUUUUUAAAUUAUUUUUUUUUUUAAAU